This 845-nucleotide ribosomal RNA is filed under the name Weissella confusa. Its description in RNAcentral is "bacterial SSU rRNA". It matches the Rfam family "Bacterial small subunit ribosomal RNA", at positions 35 to 834 of the family's 1533-position model. Lineage: Bacteria; Bacillati; Bacillota; Bacilli; Lactobacillales; Lactobacillaceae. The record is from RNAcentral.
AUUAGGGGGGGGGGCCUAUACAUGCAAGUCGAACGCUUUGUGGUUCACUGAUUUGAAGAGCUUGCUCAGAUAUGACGAUGGACAUUGCAAAGAGUGGCGAACGGGUGAGUAACACGUGGGAAACCUACCUCUUAGCAGGGGAUAACAUUUGGAAACAGAUGCUAAUACCGUAUAACAAUGACAACCGCAUGGUUGUUAUUUAAAAGAUGGUUCUGCUAUCACUAAGAGAUGGUCCCGCGGUGCAUUAGCUAGUUGGUAAGGUAAUGGCUUACCAAGGCGAUGAUGCAUAGCCGAGUUGAGAGACUGAUCGGCCACAAUGGGACUGAGACACGGCCCAUACUCCUACGGGAGGCAGCAGUAGGGAAUCUUCCACAAUGGGCGAAAGCCUGAUGGAGCAACGCCGCGUGUGUGAUGAAGGGUUUCGGCUCGUAAAACACUGUUGUAAGAGAAGAAUGACAUUGAGAGUAACUGUUCAAUGUGUGACGGUAUCUUACCAGAAAGGAACGGCUAAAUACGUGCCAGCAGCCGCGGUAAUACGUAUGUUCCAAGCGUUAUCCGGAUUUAUUGGGCGUAAAGCGAGCGCAGACGGUUAUUUAAGUCUGAAGUGAAAGCCCUCAGCUCAACUGAGGAAUUGCUUUGGAAACUGGAUGACUUGAGUGCAGUAGAGGAAAGUGGAACUCCAUGUGUAGCGGUGAAAUGCGUAGAUAUAUGGAAGAACACCAGUGGCGAAGGCGGCUUUCUGGACUGUAACUGACGUUGAGGCUCGAAAGUGUGGGUAGCAAACAGGAUUAGAUACCCUGGUAGUCCACACCGUAAACGAUGAGUGCUAGGGGAUUGAGGGUUUU